Molecule: ribosomal RNA, 510 nt
Filed under: uncultured bacterium
Lineage: Bacteria
Description: partial 16S ribosomal RNA
Rfam family: Bacterial small subunit ribosomal RNA
Source: RNAcentral
GACGAACGCUGGCGGCGUGCCUAAUACAUGCAAGUGGAACGCUGAAGGAGGAGCUUACUUCUCUGGAUGAGUUGCGAACGGGUGAGUAACGCGUAGGUAACCUGCCUGGUAGCGGGGGAUAACUAUUGGAAACGAUAGCUAAUACCGCAUAAGAGUAGAUGUUGCAUGACAUUUACUUAAAAGGUGCAAUUGCACACUACCAGAUGGACCUGCGUUGUAUUAGCUAGUUGGUGGGGUAACGGCUUACCAAGGCGACGAUACAUAGCCGACCUGAGCGGGUGGUCGGCCACACUGGGACUGAAACACGGCCCAGGCUCCUACGGGAGGCAGCAGUAGGGAAUCUUCGGCAAUGGACGGAAGUCUGACCGAGCAACGCCGCGUGAGUGAAGAAGGUUUUCGGAUCGUAAAGCUCUGUUGUAAGAGAAGAACGAGUGUGAGAGUGGAAAGUUCACACUGUGACGGUAUCUUACCAGAAAGGGACGGCUAACUACGUGCCAGCCGCCGCCGUAA